Molecule: ribosomal RNA, 404 nt
Filed under: uncultured prokaryote
Also listed under: 1 other name
Description: bacterial SSU rRNA
Rfam family: Bacterial small subunit ribosomal RNA
Source: RNAcentral
UGGGGAAUAUUGCACAAUGGGGGAAACCCUGAUGCAGCGACGCCGCGUGAGUGAAGAAGUAUUUCGGUAUGUAAAGCUCUAUCAGCAGGGACGAUAAUGACGGUACCUGACUAAGAAGCCCCGGCUAACUACGUGCCAGCAGCCGCGGUAAUACGUAGGGGGCAAGCGUUAUCCGGAUUUACUGGGUGUAAAGGGAGCGUAGGUGGUUUAAUAAGUCAGGUGUGAAAGCCCGGGGCUCAACUCCGGGAUUGCAUUUGAAACUAUUAAACUAGAGUGCAGGAGAGGUAAGUGGAAUUCCUAGUGUAGCGGUGAAAUGCGUAGAUAUUAGGAGGAACACCGGUGGCGAAGGCGGCUUGCUGGACAAAUACUGACGCUGAGGUGCGAAAGCGUGGGGAGCAAACAGG